Carassius carassius (crucian carp) is the source of this 821-nucleotide long non-coding RNA. RefSeq lists it as uncharacterized. Lineage: Eukaryota; Metazoa; Chordata; Actinopteri; Cypriniformes; Cyprinidae. The transcript is spliced from 5 exons. The record is from RefSeq and is a predicted model, not a curated record.
CAUGUUUUAUGACUGAAGUGUAAACUAAAGAUUACACUAUAAUUAUAGGCCUUACUCAACACAUUCACAAAGCUUUUUGAGUCAAGACCCAUGAGAAUGACUGCUGUAGUCAAAAAUAUUAAUAUCUAGUCAAUGUAUGAUUUGAGCUGUACAUUAGCAUGAAACUUAUAUUACUUUACAUUAUAGUUUACCUUUUUGACGAAUCAAUUUGUGAAGAAAAACAAACUAACCAGGAGUUUUCUUUAUUUUGUAUACCAUAUUGUGAUGGUUUUAAUCUACCGAAGGGAACAUUAAAAACAAAUAAUCAUAAAAAGACCCCUCCCCCUCCCCGGUGGCAUAUAUGCGUUGCGUCAUCCUUGAAUUCCUAUUGGUGGAUUGGCGAAGAUGAAUCUCGAGAGGAGUCGAGACAAAUGACAGUUAAUUUUUCAAACUAAGGAGUCCGCCAUUUCUGCUCGUUCAUACCCUAAGAUAACCAUGGUUGAUAAAUGGUCAGUAGAUGACACGUGCCACUGGCUUCAAACUAUAAACCUCAUUGAUGCAAAAGAAAGUUUCAGAGAUCCUGCAUGAAAUGACAAUGAGGUUUGGAACAGACUUGGCGAAGAACAUGGAAACAUCUCUGAAUGAAAUGGCCCCAGACAUCAUCAGGAGUGCAAAAGAAGGAAGUCAAAAAAACCCUCUACGCCAAUCUUAUUGGACUAGCAGAGGAAACCACAGAAGGUCUCGUUAGGAAUGCUGCACUCAUUUUAUUGCCAGCACUAUUUAAAGAAAACGCCAGCUUCCUCUACAGUGUAGAUAGUGAUCCCAAAGGUGCUACACCAACC